RNAcentral lists this ribosomal RNA (701 nucleotides) under [Candida] sp. Its description in RNAcentral is "LSU rRNA". It matches the Rfam family "Eukaryotic large subunit ribosomal RNA", at positions 119 to 841 of the family's 3401-position model. Lineage: Eukaryota; Fungi; Ascomycota; Saccharomycetes; Saccharomycetales. The record is from RNAcentral.
AUAUAGUACCUUCGUGCUCAAGUUGUAAUUGAAGAUGGCGACUUUGGGAGUGGCCUAUAUAUAUGUUCCUGGGAACAGGACGUCACAGAGGGUGAGAAUCCCGUUGAUGAGGUGAUCCACUCCUUUGUAAAGUGCUAUCGAAGAGUCGAGUUGUUUGGGAAUGCAGCUCUAAGUGGGUGGUAAAUUCCAUCUAAAGCUAAAUAUUGGCGAGAGACCGAUAGCGAACAAGUACAGUGAUGGAAAGAUGAAAAGAACUUUGAAAAGAGAGUGAAAAAGUACGUGAAAUUGUUGAAAGGGAAGGGUAUUAGAUCAGACUUGGCGUUGUGUGAUUAUCUUCCCCUUGUGGGUUGUGCACUCGUGCUUCGCUGGGCCAGCAUCGAUUCGUGUGGCAGGAUAAUAGCAUUGGAACGUGGCUGCGCUUCUGUGUAGUGUUAUAGCCUUUGUUGAUACUGCCUAUGUGGAUCGAGGACUGCGUCUUUUGACUAGGAUGCUGGCGUAAUGAUCUAAUAGCGCCCCUCUUGAAACACGGACCAAGGAGUCUAACGUCUAUGCGAGUGUUUGGGUGUGAAACCCGUACGCGUAAUGAAAGUGAACGUAGGUGAGAAUCUUCGGAUGUAUCAUCGACCGAUCCUGAUGUCUUCGGAUGGAUUUGAGUAAGAGCAUAGCUGUUGGGACCCGAAAGAUGGUGAACUAUGCCUGAA